ACUAUGCGCGGCUCUUCAGGUGCUCUGUUUAUGCAGAGUUAAACGGGAAGUUGGUGACAAAUCCAACACUGCCCCCGCAACGGUAAACGUUGAAAAGCACAUCAUUAAGCCACUGCGAAUGUCGUGGGAAGGCGAUGUGUCAGGCGAUAGCCACAACGUAAGUCCGGAGACCGGCCUGAGGUUUCGUAACAAC
Molecule: non-coding RNA, 193 nt
Filed under: Methylophaga thalassica MP
Lineage: Bacteria; Pseudomonadati; Pseudomonadota; Gammaproteobacteria; Thiotrichales; Piscirickettsiaceae
Source: RNAcentral